RNAcentral lists this ribosomal RNA (375 nucleotides) under uncultured organism. Its description in RNAcentral is "partial 16S ribosomal RNA". It matches the Rfam family "Bacterial small subunit ribosomal RNA", at positions 527 to 896 of the family's 1533-position model. The record is from RNAcentral.
GUAGGUGGCAAGCGUUGUCCGGAAUUAUUGGGGCGUAAAGCGCGCGCAGGUGGUUCUUUAAGUCUGAUGUGAAAGCCCCCGGGCUCAACCGGGGGAGGGUCAUUGGAAACUGGGGAUCUUGAGUGCAGGAGAGGAAAGUGGAAUUCCACGUGUAGCGGUGAAAUGCGUAGAUAUGUGGAGGAACACCAGUGGCGAAGGCGACUUUCUGGCCUGUAACUGACACUGAGGCGCGAAAGCGUGGGGAGCAAACAGGAUUAGAUACCCUGGUAGUCCACGCCGUAAACGAUGAGUGCUAAGUGUUGGGGGGUUUCCGCCCCUCAGUGCUGCAGCUAACGCAUUAAGCACUCCGCCUGGGGAGCACGGUCGCAAAGACUG